AGUCUGAUUAUGGCUCAGAUUGAACGCUGGCGGGAUGCUUUACACAUGCAAGUCGAACGGUGGCACGGACUUCGGUCUGGUGGCGAGUGGCGAACGGUAGUAAUGUAUCGGAACGUGCCUAGUAGCGGGGGAUAAUCACGCGAAAGCGCAGCUUAAUACGCCGCAUACGCCCUUCGGGGAAAGUGGGGACCUUCGGGCCUCGCACUAUUAGAGCGGCCGAUAUCGGAUUAGCUAGUUGGUGGGGUAACGGCUCACCGGCGACGAUCCGUAGCUGGUUUGAGAGUGACGACCAGCCACACUGGGACUGAGACACGGCCCAGACUCCCGGCAUGGGAGGCAGUGGGGAAUUUUGGACAAUGGGGGAAACCCUGAUCCAGCCAUCCCGCGCGUGCGAUGAAGGCCUUCGGGUUGUAAAGCACUUUUGGCAGGAAAGAAACGGCACGGGAUAAUACCCGUGCAACUGACGGUACCGCAGAAUAAGCACCGGUUAACUACGUGCCAGCAGCCGCGGUAAUACGUAGUGGGGUAAAGCGUUAAUCGGAAUUACUGGGCGUAAAAGCGUGCGCAGGCGGUUCGGAAAGAAAGAUGUGAAAUCCCCCAGAGCUUAACUUUGGAACUGCAUUUUUAACUACCGAGCUAGAGUGUGUCAGAGGGAGGAAUUUCGCGUGUAGCAGUGAAAUGCGUAGAUAUGCGGAGGAACACCGAUGGCGAAGGCAGCCUCCUGGGAUAACACUGAUGUCAUGCACGAAAGCGUGGGGAGCAAACAGGAUUAGAUACCCUGGUAGUCCACGCCCUAAACGAUGUCAACUAGCUGUUGGGGCCUUCGGGCUCGGUGGCGCAGCUAACGUGAAGUUGACCGCCUGGGGAGUACGGUCGCAAGAUUAAAACUCAAAGGAAUUGACGGGGACCCGCACAAGCGGUGGAUGAUGCGGAUUAAUUCGAUGCAACGCGAAAACCUUACCUACCCUUGACAUGUCUUUUGAACUUCGAAGAGAUUUGGGAGUGCUCGCAAGAGAACCGAAACACAGGUGCUGCAUGGCUGUCGUCAGCUCGUGUCGAGAUGUUGCUGUUCCAGCAACGAGUGGCAACCUUGUCAUUAGUUGCUACGAAAGGGCACUCUAAUGAGACUGCCGGUGACAAACCGGAGGAGGUGGAUGACGUCAAGUCCUCGCGGUCUUUAUGGGUAGGGCUUCACACGUCAUACAAUGGUCGGGACAGAGGGCUGCCAACCCGCGAGGGGGAGCUAAUCCCAGAAACCCGAUCGUAGUCCGGAUCGCAGUCUGCAACUGACUGCGCAGUCGGAAUCGCUAGUGACCGCGGAUCAGCAUGUCGCGGUGAAUACGUUCCCGGUCUUGUACACAUCGCCCACGCCAACAUGGGAGUGUGUUUUACCAGAAGUAGUUAGCCUAACCGUAAGGAGGGCGAUUACCACGGUAGGAUUCAUGACUGGGGUGAAGUCGUAACAAGGUA
This 1470-nucleotide ribosomal RNA is filed under the name uncultured Bordetella sp. RNAcentral describes it as "partial 16S-23S ribosomal RNA intergenic spacer". It matches the Rfam family "Bacterial small subunit ribosomal RNA". The record is from RNAcentral. Lineage: Bacteria; Pseudomonadati; Pseudomonadota; Betaproteobacteria; Burkholderiales; Alcaligenaceae.